UACGUAGGGACCAAGCGUUGUUCGGAUUUACUGGGCGUAAAGGGCGUGUAGGCGGCAUGACAAGUCACUUGUGAAAUCUCUGGGCUUAACCCAGAACGGCCAAGUGAUACUGUCGCGCUAGAGUGCGGAAGGGGCAAUCGGAAUUCUUGGUGUAGCGGUGAAAUGCGUAGAUAUCGGGAGGAACACCGGUGGCGAAGGCGGUUCUCUGGGCCUGUACUGACGCUGAGGAGCGAAAGCGUGGGGAGCGAACAGG
Molecule: ribosomal RNA, 253 nt
Filed under: uncultured bacterium
Lineage: Bacteria
Description: partial 16S ribosomal RNA
Rfam family: Bacterial small subunit ribosomal RNA
Source: RNAcentral